ACAGCAGUAGCCGCGGGAAUACGGAGGAUCCGAGCGUUAUCCGGAAUUAUUGGGUUUAAAGGGUGCGUAGGCGGAUAGAUAAGUCAGUGGUGAAAGACGGUGGCUCAACCAUCGCAGUGCCGUUGAUACUGUUUAUCUUGAAUAUGGAUGAGGUAGGCGGAAUGUGGCAAGUAGCGGUGAAAUGCAUAGAUAUGCCACAGAACACCGAUUGCGAAGGCAGCUUACCAAGGCAAAAUUGACGCUGAGGCACGAAAGCGUGGGGAUCGAACAGGAUUAGAUACCCCGGUAGUCCCUGUCUCUUAUAC
RNAcentral lists this ribosomal RNA (305 nucleotides) under uncultured bacterium. RNAcentral describes it as "partial 16S ribosomal RNA". It matches the Rfam family "Bacterial small subunit ribosomal RNA", at positions 508 to 807 of the family's 1533-position model. The record is from RNAcentral.